GUGCUAUCGCUCCAGCCCAGCACAUAUACCAAAAUUUGAACAAUACAGAGAAGAUUAGCAUGGUGUCUCACUAAUAAUAAUAAAUAAAUAAAUAAAAAUACCUAAAUGACU
Sorex fumeus (smoky shrew) is the source of this 111-nucleotide small nuclear RNA. The record is from RefSeq and is a predicted model, not a curated record. NCBI's taxonomy places the organism in Eukaryota, Metazoa, Chordata, Mammalia, Eulipotyphla, Soricidae.